RNAcentral lists this transfer RNA (70 nucleotides) under Typhlocybinae gen. 1 sp. 1 BY-2021a. RNAcentral describes it as "tRNA-Gln". The record is from RNAcentral. RNAcentral also lists the same sequence under 1 other name. Lineage: Eukaryota; Metazoa; Arthropoda; Insecta; Hemiptera; Cicadellidae.
UGUUAAUAAUUGUAUGAUAACAUUUGGAUUUUUGAUUUCCAAUACUUAAGUUUAAUUCUUAAAUUAGCAG